RNAcentral lists this transfer RNA (72 nucleotides) under Planctomycetaceae bacterium. Its description in RNAcentral is "tRNA-Arg". It matches the Rfam family "tRNA". Rfam says of the family: Transfer RNA (tRNA) molecules are approximately 80 nucleotides in length. Their secondary structure includes four short double-helical elements and three loops (D, anti-codon, and T loops). The record is from RNAcentral. Lineage: Bacteria; Pseudomonadati; Planctomycetota; Planctomycetia; Planctomycetales; Planctomycetaceae.
GUCUCGAUGGUGUAACGGAUAGCACAGGACCCUCCGAAGGUCCAGAUCCAGGUUCGAUUCCUGGUCGAGACA